AUUGAACGCUGGCGGAAUGCUUUACACAUGCAAGUCGAACGGUAGAGGGGGCAACCCCUCGAGAGUGGCGAACGGGUGAGUAAUAUAUCGGAACGUGCCCAGUCGUGGGGGAUAACGUAGCGAAAGUUACGCUAAUACCGCAUACGAUCUAAGGAUGAAAGCGGGGGAUCGCAAGACCUCGCGCGAUUGGAGCGGCCGAUAUCAGAUUAGGUAGUUGGUGGGGUAAAGGUUCACCAAGCCAACGAUCUGUAGCUGGUCUGAGAGGACGACCAGCCACACUGGAACUGAGACACGGUCCAGACUCCUACGGGAGGCAGCAGUGGGGAAUUUUGGACAGUGGACGCAAGUCUGAUCCAGCCAUUCCGCGUGCAGGAUGAAGGCCCUCGGGUUGUAAACUGCUUUUGUACGGAACGAAAAGGUCUCUCUUAAUACGGGGGACUCAUGACGGUACCGUAAGAAUAAGCACCGGCUAACUACGUGCCAGCAGCCGCCGUAA
RNAcentral lists this ribosomal RNA (496 nucleotides) under uncultured bacterium. RNAcentral describes it as "partial 16S ribosomal RNA". It matches the Rfam family "Bacterial small subunit ribosomal RNA", at positions 30 to 523 of the family's 1533-position model. The record is from RNAcentral.